CCCUGCCAUUUGUACACACCGCCCGUCGCUCCUACCGAUUUGAGUGAUGCGGUGAACCCUCCGGACCGGUUCGCCGGGAAGUUGAGUAAACCUUACCACUUAGAGGAAGGAGAAGUCGUAACAAGGUU
RNAcentral lists this ribosomal RNA (128 nucleotides) under uncultured eukaryote. RNAcentral's name for it is "partial small subunit ribosomal RNA". It matches the Rfam family "Eukaryotic small subunit ribosomal RNA", at positions 1651 to 1801 of the family's 1831-position model. The record is from RNAcentral.